GGACCCGCACAAGCGGUGGAGCAUGUUGCUUAAUUCGACGCAACGCGAAGAACCUUACCGGGGCUUGAAGUGCACAUGAAGGGCGCAGAGACGCGUUCCGCUCUUCGGAGCGUGUGCAUUAGGUGCUGCACGGCUGUCGUCAGCUCGUGUCGUGAGAUGUUGGGUUAAGUCCUGUAACGAGCGCAACCCCUAUCCCUAGUUGCCAUCAGGUAAAGCUGGGAACUCUACGGAGACUGCCGGUGAUAAACCGGAGGAAGGUGGGGAUGACGUCAAGUCAUCGUGGCCCUUACGUCCCGGGCUGCAAACGUGCUACAAUGGUCGGUACAAAGGGAGGCAAGACCGCGAGGUGGAGCAAAUCCCAAAAAACCGGUCUCAGUUCGGAUUGUAGUCUGCAACUCGACUGCAUGAAGUUGGAAUCGCUAGUAAUCGCGGAUCAGCAUGCCGCGGUGAAUACGUUCCCGGGUCUU
RNAcentral lists this ribosomal RNA (467 nucleotides) under uncultured bacterium. RNAcentral's name for it is "bacterial SSU rRNA". It matches the Rfam family "Bacterial small subunit ribosomal RNA", at positions 917 to 1382 of the family's 1533-position model. The record is from RNAcentral.